UAGGGAAUCUUCCGCAAUGGGCGAAAGCCUGACGGAGCAACGCCGCGUGAGUGAUAAAGGUCUUCGGAUCGUAAAACUCUGUUAUUAGGGAAGAACAAAUGUGUAAGUAACUAUGCACGUCUUGACGGUACCUAAUCAGAAAGCCACGGCUAACUACGUGCCAGCAGCCGCGGUAAUACGUAGGUGGCAAGCGUUAUCCGGAAUUAUUGGGCGUAAAGCGCGCGUAGGCGGUUUUUUAAGUCUGAUGUGAAAGCCCACGGCUCAACCGUGGAGGGUCAUUGGAAACUGGAAAACUUGAGUGCACAAGAGGAAAGUGGAAUUCCAGGUGUAGCGGUGAAAUGCGCAGAGAUAUGGAGGAACACCAGUGGCGAAGGCGACUUUCUGGUCUGUAACUGACGCUGAUGUGCGAAAGCGUGGGGAUCAAACAGG
Molecule: ribosomal RNA, 429 nt
Filed under: Actinomycetes bacterium
Lineage: Bacteria; Bacillati; Actinomycetota; Actinomycetes
Description: Actinobacteria bacterium partial 16S ribosomal RNA
Rfam family: Bacterial small subunit ribosomal RNA
Source: RNAcentral